Molecule: non-coding RNA, 800 nt
Organism: Salvelinus sp. IW2-2015
Lineage: Eukaryota; Metazoa; Chordata; Actinopteri; Salmoniformes; Salmonidae
Source: RefSeq, a predicted model, not a curated record
AAGGUGAAAUUAAAAAAAUAAGAGCAGCUGCAUACAGCCUAUGUGCGCUAAUAGCAGAUACCUGUGUUUUUUAACUUCAUGAAUAAAUGUGUUGUUCAAACCUAUGAUGGAGCAGCUGUAGUGGAAUGUAUCUGCUAUUUGUAUCUCCAGCUAAGUACCCUCCUGUUCCCUGAUUAAGAGGUGAUGACCACUUCACUCCACUACCAUUGUCUACUCUCUCCUGAUAUGAACUGAAGCCAUUUCUCAUGUGCCCGCUCAUCCACUGACACAUUAAAUGUUUCCUCUUGUUUUGAUUGGGGGUUAAACUUGGAACAUUGUUAUACUCAGAAGUAUAGGAGCAUUAGUUACUAAAGAGACAUGAGGGGUGGAGCCAUAAUGAAGCUUGGGAGGGGCUGAGCGCAGGGGAAACCAAUCACAUGUGACAGUACAGAUAAGGGGAGAAACCAGUUGAAGGCUCAUAUCACUUAGUUCCCUGCUUAGCAAGAAUGAUGCAAUAUUUAGCGAUAAGGAGGAGACUCCACCCAAAGUGGGUUAUGAAUACUACCACGGGGGGAAGCCAUGUCUGUGUCUGAAUUACAGCUGUAUCGACCCUUUGGGAAGAAUUAAACUUGGUCAAAUCUUGUCCUGCACUCAAGUCAAGCCUCUGAACACCUCAACUCAUACCCUCAUUCAAUCACUGCUGUGAUCCCUUCCCAAUACUGUGACGGAAUCAAGGUGCGGGUCACAGUUACCACAGCCACAAAGUCAAAAUUGGCUAUAUCGGUUAGGCAUAAGGUUAGUAGUGUGGUUAAGAUUAGGGU